RNAcentral lists this transfer RNA (50 nucleotides) under Planicladium semperianum. Its description in RNAcentral is "transfer RNA-Leu". The record is from RNAcentral. Lineage: Eukaryota; Viridiplantae; Streptophyta; Bryopsida; Hypnales; Neckeraceae.
UUGGCUUUAUUGACCGUGAGGGUUCAAGUCCCUCUACCCCCAAAACUAUA